RNAcentral lists this long non-coding RNA (229 nucleotides) under Solanum tuberosum (potato). RNAcentral describes it as "long non-coding RNA (STUB_LNC010184)". The record is from RNAcentral. Lineage: Eukaryota; Viridiplantae; Streptophyta; Magnoliopsida; Solanales; Solanaceae.
GAUUCUAGUGGAGCCACCAACCAAAACGACAUCAUGAACUGUGCUCUUGUCCAUCUUAGCAUCCCUCAAACACUUCUCAACUGGUUCCAUACACUUCCUAAACAGAUCCAUGUUAAGCUCUUCAAAUCUAGCACGUGUGAUGGUGGAGUAAAAAUCAAUACCCUCGUACAGAGAGUCAAUUUCAAUGGUGGUCUGGGCAGUGGAUGAAAGUGUCCUCUUUGCCCUCUCA